GGGCACGAACCCACGUCCCCUGCAUCGGCAGGCGGACUCCCAACCACUGCGCCACCAGGGAAGCCCCUCCUUUACUUUUCUUUUGUUUUCUUUGAACUUGGGGAGAAAAGAAACUCUGCAUGAAAGGAGGCCUGAGGAGCUACUCAUGAGAUGCCAAAUGAGAGGACAGCACACUUUCUUGGUCAUCUCUGACUAGCUCUCUUGCAUCUUCAUGGUGAUCUCAGUGCUUCUAAUUCCAUUUGGAAAUUUCUGGACUUGUUUUAAGAACUACUUGUGCAGGACAGCUCAGUUAUAUCUGUGAGCCAUAACUGAAUGUCUCUUAUCUCUGAAGCUAUUUCCAAGGUAGGCAAACAAAGGGAGAGGCAGGAAGAAAAUUUCUUUCCUUCUGCAUAUGCAAGCACUGGUUAACCAUGGAGUACAACAAAGGUAAGGUAUUAUAUUGUCUGUAGGACUGGAAAAGCCCUUGCAUCAACCACUGUGUUCACAAAUUGUGUUUUUACUUUUGCCUUUUCCACAAUCUCUCAUUAAAUAUUUCUCCCUCUU
Molecule: long non-coding RNA, 543 nt
Organism: Aethalodelphis obliquidens (Pacific white-sided dolphin)
Lineage: Eukaryota; Metazoa; Chordata; Mammalia; Artiodactyla; Delphinidae
Exons: 2
Source: RefSeq, a predicted model, not a curated record